GUCCUGAUAGUAUAAAAAUUACACUGGUCUUGUAAACCAGAAAUGGAAUCGCACUUUUCUCAGGAUA
This 67-nucleotide transfer RNA is filed under the name Hyperacrius fertilis (subalpine Kashmir vole). Its description in RNAcentral is "tRNA-Thr". Lineage: Eukaryota; Metazoa; Chordata; Mammalia; Rodentia; Cricetidae. The record is from RNAcentral.